GACGGAGGAUGCAAGCGUUAUCCGGAAUUAUUGGGCGUAAAGCGUACGUAGGCUGUUUAAUAAGUCUGUUGUCAAAGACUGAGGCUUAACCUUGGGAAGGCAAUGGAAACUGUAAGACUAGAGAGAGAUAGGGGCAGGAGGAAUUCCAGGUGUAGCGGUGAAAUGCGUAGAUAUCUGGAAGAACACCAGUGGCGAAAGCGUCCUGCUGGGUCUCAACUGACGCUGAAGUACGAAAGCUAGGGGAGCGAAUGGGAUUAGAUACCCCAGUAGUCCUAGCCGUAAACGAUGGACACUAGGUGUUGGCCGUAUCGACCCGGUCAGUGCCGUAGCUAACGCGUUAAGUGUCCCGCCUGGGGAGUACGGUCGCAAGAUUG
RNAcentral lists this ribosomal RNA (374 nucleotides) under uncultured prokaryote. Its description in RNAcentral is "bacterial SSU rRNA". It matches the Rfam family "Bacterial small subunit ribosomal RNA", at positions 524 to 896 of the family's 1533-position model. The record is from RNAcentral.